AUUGAACGCUGGCGGCAGGCCUAACACAUGCAAGUCGAGCGGAUGAAGGGAGCUUGCUCCUGGAUUCAGCGGCGGACGGGUGAGUAAUGCCUAGGAAUCUGCCUGGUAGUGGGGGAUAACGUCCGGAAACGGGCGCUCAUACCGCAUACGUCCUGAGGGAGAAAGUGGGGGAUCUUCGGACCUCACGCUAUCAGAUGAGCCUAGGUCGGAUUAGCUAGUCGGUGGGGUAAAGGCCUACCAAGGCGACGAUCCGUAACUGGUCUAAGAGGAUGAUCAGUCACACUAGAACUGAGACACGGUCGAGACUCCUGCGGGGCGCAGCAGUGAGGAAUAUUGGACGAUGGGCGAAAGCCUGAUCCAGCCAUGCCGCGUGUGUGAAGAAGGUCUUCGGAUUUUAAAGCACUUUAAGUUGGGGGGAAGGGCAGUAAGUUAAUACCUUGCUGUUUUGACGUUACCAACAGAAUAAGCACCGGCUAACUUCGUG
This 484-nucleotide ribosomal RNA is filed under the name uncultured bacterium. RNAcentral's name for it is "partial 16S ribosomal RNA". It matches the Rfam family "Bacterial small subunit ribosomal RNA", at positions 30 to 507 of the family's 1533-position model. The record is from RNAcentral.